Molecule: ribosomal RNA, 462 nt
Filed under: Nocardia caishijiensis
Lineage: Bacteria; Bacillati; Actinomycetota; Actinomycetes; Mycobacteriales; Nocardiaceae
Description: bacterial SSU rRNA
Rfam family: Bacterial small subunit ribosomal RNA
Source: RNAcentral
GACGAACGCUGGCGGCGUGCUUAACACAUGCAAGUCGAGCGGUAAGGCCCUUCGGGGUACACGAGCGGCGAACGGGUGAGUAACACGUGGGUGAUCUGCCCUGUACUUCGGGAUAAGCCUGGGAAACUGGGUCUAAUACCGGAUAUGACCUUGGACUGCAUGGUCUUUGGUGGAAAGAUUUAUCGGUACAGGAUGGGCCCGCGGCCUAUCAGCUUGUUGGUGGGGUAAUGGCCUACCAAGGCGACGACGGGUAGCCGGCCUGAGAGGGCGACCGGCCACACUGGGACUGAGACACGGCCCAGACUCCUACGGGAGGCAGCAGUGGGGAAUAUUGCACAAUGGGCGGAAGCCUGAUGCAGCGACGCCGCGUGAGGGAUGACGGCCUUCGGGUUGUAAACCUCUUUCGACAGGGACGAAGCGCAACUGACGGUACCUGUAGAAGAAGCACCGGCCAACUACGUG